CGUGGCCUGAAGUAUUCGCCAGACGAUUCGUCCUCGAGCCGAUAAUGCAUUACUAGGAGUUCACUUCCGUGACCGUUGUGCAAGCCUGGCCAGAACCGGGAAGCCUGAAGUCGUGUGGUGGGCACCACCUUGAGCCGCAGGGUUCAAGGGCCUAUUCGUCAGCGGUACCGCGGGUCAUUU
Molecule: non-coding RNA, 180 nt
Filed under: Luminiphilus sp.
Lineage: Bacteria; Pseudomonadati; Pseudomonadota; Gammaproteobacteria; Cellvibrionales; Halieaceae
Description: 6S RNA
Rfam family: 6S / SsrS RNA
About the family: E. coli 6S RNA was the first non coding RNA to be sequenced, but its function was unknown until recently. It consists of 184 nucleotides that fold into an extended hairpin structure with a large single-stranded internal bulge.
Source: RNAcentral